UGGGGACCCUGUGCUCAGUCCAAUGGUUAGCUGCGAGCAUCUGCCUCUGCAUAUGUCAGGCUCUGGCAGAGAAAAACUCUUCUAAUAUUGUGAACUGCUUUGGUGGCAACACAAAGCCAAAAUGUAAGAACUGAGUCUACCAAGGGAUGAUGUCACAGGAUGGUUACUGAUAAAACAAGAAGACACCACAUCCAUCACUGCUCCAGUGGAGCCAUGGGUGCACAGCUCAUCUGCUGUGUAGUACUUUGCCUCCUGGGGGCAGGCUCUUUGGAUGCUGCAGUUACUCAGACGCCAAGACAUUUAAUCAAAAUGAAAGGGCAGAAAGUAGAGAUGAAAUGUAACCCUGAAAAGGGGCACAAUGCUGUUUUCUGGUAUCAGCAAAAGGAGAGCAAAGAAUUAAAGUUCCUGAUUUACUUUCAGAAUCAAAAGCCUCUCGAUGAAAUAGACAUGGUCAAGGAGAGAUUCUCAGCUGAGUGCCCCUCAAGCUCACUCUGCAGCCUAGGAAUCAAAACUUCUGAAGCUGAAGACUCAGCACUCUACCUGUGCUCCAGCAGUCAAUCCACAGCGCUGAAAUGUGCAUUCCCCCUUGCACACAAACUCACCGAGGAGCCACUCAGGGAGCAGGUGAUGAGAGAAGGUGAUCAUGGGUGCAAGACUGCUCUGCUGUGUGACACUUUGUCUGCUUGGGGCAGGCUCUUUUGUUGCUGAGGUAACUCAGACUCCAAGGUACCUGGUCAAAGAGAAAGGACAGAAAACGCACAUGAGCUGUAGUCCUGAAAAAGGGCACACUGCCUUUUACUGGUAUCAACAGAACAAGGACAAAGAACUUGCAUUUUUGAUUAACUUUCGAAAUGAAGAAAUUAUUGAACAAACAGACUUGGUCAAGAAGAGAUUCUCAGCUAAAUGUCCCCAGAACUCAGGCUGCAUCCUGGAAAUCCUAUCCUCUGAAGAAGGAGACUCAGCACUGUACCUCUGUGCCAGC
Molecule: non-coding RNA, 982 nt
Organism: Mastomys coucha (southern multimammate mouse)
Lineage: Eukaryota; Metazoa; Chordata; Mammalia; Rodentia; Muridae
Source: the annotation of a RefSeq genome assembly